This 471-nucleotide ribosomal RNA is filed under the name uncultured bacterium. RNAcentral describes it as "bacterial SSU rRNA". It matches the Rfam family "Bacterial small subunit ribosomal RNA", at positions 8 to 526 of the family's 1533-position model. The record is from RNAcentral.
AGAGUUUGAUCCUGGCUCAGGAUGAACGCUGGCGGCGUGCUUAACACAUGCAAGUCGAACGAACCUUCGGGUUAGUGGCGGACGGGUGAGUAACGCGUGAGAAUCUGCCCUCAGGAGGGGGAUAACGGUUGGAAACGACCGCUAAUACCCCAUAUGCCUACUGGUGAAAUGAAUUUCGCCUGAGGAUGAGCUCGCGUCUGAUUAGCUAGUUGGUGAGGUAAUGGCUCACCAAGGCUUCGAUCAGUAGCUGGUCUGAGAGGAUGAUCAGCCACACUGGGACUGAGACACGGCCCAGACUCCUACGGGAGGCAGCAGUGGGGAAUUUUCCGCAAUGGGCGAAAGCCUGACGGAGCAACGCCGCGUGAGGGACGAAGGCCUCUGGGCUGUAAACCUCCUUUCUCAAGGAAGAAGAUAUGACGGUACUUGAGGAAUAAGCCACGGCUAAUUCCGUGCCAGCAGCCGCGGUAAUAC